GAUGAACGCUGGCGGCGUGCCUAACACAUGCAAGUCGAGCGAACAGACGCGGAGUUUGCUCCUUUCACGUUAGCGGCGCACGUGUGUGUCACACGUGUAUCCCCUCCCUAUCAGACUGGGAUAACUUCGGGACACCGGAGCUAACACCGGAUAAUAUACUGAACCGCAUGGUUCAAUAGUGAAAUUCGGUUUUUCUUUCUCUUAUAGAUGCAUCUCCGCCGCAUUAGCUAGUUGGUAAGUUAACGGCUUAUCAAGGCAACGAUGCGUAGCCGACUUCCUGGGGUGGUCGGCCACACUGGAACGGAGACACGGUCCAGACUCCUACGGUAGGGAGCAGUAGGGAACGUUCCGCAGUAGGCGAAAGCCUGGCAGAGCAACGCCGCGUGAGUGAUGAAAGUGUUCGGAUCGUAAAGCUCUGUUAUUAGGGAAGAACAGAUGUGGAAGUAACUAUGGACGUCGUGACGGUACCUAGUAAGAAAGCCACGGCUAACUACGUG
This 497-nucleotide ribosomal RNA is filed under the name uncultured bacterium. RNAcentral describes it as "partial 16S ribosomal RNA". It matches the Rfam family "Bacterial small subunit ribosomal RNA", at positions 28 to 507 of the family's 1533-position model. The record is from RNAcentral.